AAAACAAACUUUGAUGGAGCGGGCAUUGAUCGAGCAAUUAGGGAGAGGCAGGAAAUGGAGACAAAGUUACAAAAAUUAGCCAAAACUAUGUAUUAUCAGGAAAGGGCAAAAAGAUGAGGCUGCUCCCUUGAUUGAAGCUGCUUUUCAGCGAUGGUCGGUGGAAGAGAAGGUGCUUCAUGAACUUGAUCAACAGGAAAAAUUCCAGGAAGAGUAUUGAACCGUUGUAAAGCAGAGUUUGACAGGCGCAGAGUAGAGAGGGAGGAAAGAAUCAACCAAAUUAUUCAGGCACGCAAACAGGAGAGGGAGGUAAUGAGAAAGAAAAUAUACUAUGCUAGGUGUGAAGAUGAAAGAAUGAAAAAGCUACGUGAGGAGGAAGGAGCUCGUAAGUGGGAAGAGGCUGAGAGACGAAGAAAAGAAGAAGCCGAACGCAAGGCAAAAUUAGACGAGAUUGCUGAAAAUCAGAGGCAAAGAGAGCGGGAAUUGGAAGAUAAGGAAAGGCUGAGAAGAGAAGCUCUCUUGGGGAGACCAGCUGAUGUGCCCUCCAAGCCUUUUGAGCUUCC
Molecule: long non-coding RNA, 560 nt
Organism: Pistacia vera
Lineage: Eukaryota; Viridiplantae; Streptophyta; Magnoliopsida; Sapindales; Anacardiaceae
Exons: 3
Source: RefSeq, a predicted model, not a curated record